ACCUGGGUGGCUCAGUCGGUUAAGCGUCUGACUUCAGCUCAGGUCAUGAUCUCACAGUUCAUGAGUUCGAGCCCCAUGUCAGGUU
RNAcentral lists this transfer RNA (85 nucleotides) under Felis catus (domestic cat). It matches the Rfam family "tRNA". From Rfam's summary of the family: Transfer RNA (tRNA) molecules are approximately 80 nucleotides in length. Their secondary structure includes four short double-helical elements and three loops (D, anti-codon, and T loops). Further hydrogen bonds mediate the characteristic L-shaped molecular structure. tRNAs have two regions of fundamental functional importance: the anti-codon, which is responsible for specific mRNA codon recognition, and the 3' end, to which the tRNAs corresponding amino acid is attached (by aminoacyl-tRNA synthetases). tRNAs cope with the degeneracy of the genetic code in two manners: having more than one tRNA (with a specific anti-codon) for a particular amino acid; and 'wobble' base-pairing, i.e. permitting non-standard base-pairing at the 3rd anti-codon position. The record is from Rfam by way of RNAcentral. Lineage: Eukaryota; Metazoa; Chordata; Mammalia; Carnivora; Felidae.